Molecule: ribosomal RNA, 460 nt
Filed under: uncultured bacterium
Lineage: Bacteria
Description: partial 16S ribosomal RNA
Rfam family: Bacterial small subunit ribosomal RNA
Source: RNAcentral
CCUACGGGGGGCAGCAGUGAGGAAUAUUGGUCAAUGGACGAGAGUCUGAACCAGCCAAGUAGCGUGAAGGAUUACUGCCCUAUGGGUUGUAAACUUCUUUUAUAUGGGAAUAAAACGCUCCACGUGUGGGAUUUUGUAUGUACCCUAUGAAUAAGGAUCGGCUAACGCCGUGCCAGCCGCCGCGGUAAUACGGAGGAUCCGAGCGUUAUCCGGAUUUUUUGGGUUUAAAGGGAGCGUAGGUGGAUUGUUAAGUCAGUUGUGAAAGUUUGCGGCUCAACCGUAAAAUUGCAGUUGAAACUGGCAGUCUUGAGUGCGGUAGAGGUGGGCGGAAUGCGUGGUGUAGCGGUGAAAUGCUUAGAUAUCACGAAGAACUCCGAUUGCGAAGGCAGUUCACUGGACUGCAACUGACGCUGAGGCUCGAAAGUGUGGGUAUCGAACAGGAUUAGAUACCCUUGUAGUC